GACGAACGCUGGCGGCGUGCCUAAUACAUGCAAGUUGAGCGAUGAAGAUUGGUGCUUGCACCAAUUUGAAGAGCAGCGAACGGGUGAGUAACGCGUGGGGAAUCUGCCUUUGAGCGGGGGACAACAUUUGGAAACGAAUGCUAAUACCGCAUAACAACUUUAAACAUAAGUUUUAAGUUUGAAAGAUGCAAUUGCAUCACUCAAGGAUGAUCCCGCGUUGUAUUAGCUAGUUGGUGAGGUAAAGGCUCACCAAGGCGAUGAUACAUAGCCGACCUGAGAGGGUGAUCGGCCACAUUGGGACUGAGACACGGCCCAAACUCCUACGGGAGGCAGCAGUAGGGAAUCUUCGGCAAUGGACGAAAGUCUGACCGAGCAACGCCGCGUGAGUGAAGAAGGUUUUCGGAUCGGAAAACUCUGUUGGUAGAGAAGAACGUUGGUGAGAGUGGAAAGCUCAUCAAGUGACGGUAACUACCCAGAAAGGGACGGCUAACUACGUG
RNAcentral lists this ribosomal RNA (497 nucleotides) under uncultured bacterium. Its description in RNAcentral is "partial 16S ribosomal RNA". It matches the Rfam family "Bacterial small subunit ribosomal RNA", at positions 28 to 507 of the family's 1533-position model. The record is from RNAcentral.